This is a non-coding RNA of Oryza sativa Japonica Group (Japanese rice), 1836 nucleotides long. Lineage: Eukaryota; Viridiplantae; Streptophyta; Magnoliopsida; Poales; Poaceae. The record is from RefSeq and is a predicted model, not a curated record.
UGGCGGUUUAUUCCAUCCCAUCAAUUGUUCGGAUUCAAGAGUAGUCAGCCUCACUCUCUUCCUCCAAAUCAUUGGUGCUGCUGCUACUGUGUACCGGAGAUGAACGGCGCUGGUGGUGCGGGAGGAGCAGCGGCAGGGAAGUUGCCAAUGGUGAGCCACCGACGGGUGCAGUGCAGACUAGCGGACAAGCGGUGUGAGCUCCGGGAGGAAGAGAUGGAGUAUAUCCGGCAGUUCCACCGCCACGAGCCCAGCAGCAACCAGUGCACCUCGUUCGUCGCCAAGCAUAUCAAGGCGCCCCUCCAAACCGUUUGGUCACUAGUGAGGAGGUUUGAUCAGCCACAACUUUUCAAACCUUUUGUGAGAAAGUGCGUAAUGCGAGAAAACAUUAUUGUGACCGGAUGUGUUAGGGAGGUCAAUGUUCAAAGCGGGCUUCCAGCCACAAGGAGCACUGAGAGGUUAGAGUUGCUUGAUGAUAACGAACAUAUCCUCAAAGUCAAGUUUAUUGGGGGCGAUCAUAUGUUGAAGAAUUACUCAUCCAUCCUAACCAUCCACUCUGAGGUCAUCGAUGGCCAACUUGGAACAUUGGUGGUCGAAUCAUUUGUAGUGGAUAUUCCAGAUGGGAACACCAAAGACGACAUAUGCUAUUUCAUCGAGAACGUUCUCAGUGCAUUCUAGAGCCCUUCCCACUUUAUACAAGGUGAAGACUGGAGAGGGUCGGAGCGUAUUAAGGAAAAAAAUGUAAGAGACUCCUAUUGUUCCAUGUCUCACGGCAUGAACAAUAUAGUUGGCACUAAAAAAAAGUACAAGCAUGUGCUAGAUUUGCAUAUAUGAUGCAAUCUUUGCAACCCUUAAAAAUAAAAUAACUACUUCUAAGUUUGCUUUUUACCAUGUUAGAGGCAAAAAAAAAAAUCAGGGGAACUAAUUUCUACCAAACAAACAAAAUAUACGGUAGCAUCUCAGGAAAAAAUAUCAAGAUGAUUACGAUAAACAACCUAGGAUGGCAUGAGAUAGCCAACAGUUUGGUCAAAUAUAUGUUACUUUAGAUAACAAAAGCGUACAAGACACAUUUGGUUAAUUACAUGCCUUGCACGCUUGAAUCGACCCAACCGGCUAGGUUUCUUCCUCCACCGCCUCAGUUAAGUACAUCACCAUGAUUAAGCUCAUGACCUUGUAGUGUCUAUCGUCGAGGCUUCAAGACAAACCAAGCACACAGUUACCUUCACACAAUCACGAAGCAGUUCAUCAAAAGAGCUAUGUUGUUGCUCAAAUAUAUACCACCCUUGUGCUUGCUUGCCUUUUCCAUUCUACCACAAUCGAUCAGCUUCAUGAGCUAGCAUCUGACCUCUUCCCCUUCACCUUGUUGGUGUUGUUGUGUUUCUACUGCCUACCGGAAAUGAAUGUUGGCACAAGUGGUGCGGUAGGAGAAGCGGCAGGGAGGCUGCCGACAGGCGCAGUGAAGACUUACGGAUGAGCGUUGUGAGAUCAGGCAGGACGAGGUGGAGUACGUGCAGCACUUCCGUAGCCACGAGCCCGGUAGCAACCAGUGAAAAUCCUUUGUCACCAAGCACGACAGAGUGCCCACCAAACUGAAAGAAGAUUGGAUCAAAGCGAGGUCGGAAGCGGAAAUCGAGUUUGGAAACAGAGCAGGAAUCGGCCGGAGUCCAGAUCGGCUAUGGUUAGGAUCGGCUAGGUCUGAGUUGGGCUAAGUAAGUCGAUACAGCCGAUUCCGACAAUAUGACUUGUACACGACAUCGGGUUCAAGUUAAUGUACUUCAAGAUGAUUGCCAUGCACGGAUAGAGUCCUGGGAAGGCAAUUGUAUCUAUUAAUUAGGAUAU